RNAcentral lists this ribosomal RNA (254 nucleotides) under uncultured microorganism. Its description in RNAcentral is "partial 16S ribosomal RNA". It matches the Rfam family "Archaeal small subunit ribosomal RNA", at positions 474 to 727 of the family's 1478-position model. The record is from RNAcentral.
CACCGGCGGCUCGAGUGGUAGCCACUCUUAUUGGGCCUAAAGCGUCCGUAGCCGGCUUGGCAAGUCCCCUGGGAAAUCUGGCGGCUUAACCGUCAGGCGUCCAGAGGAUACUGCCAGGCUUGGGACCGGGAGAGGUGAGAGGUACCUCAGGGGUAGGGGUGAAAUCUUGUGAUCCCUGAGGGACCACCAGUGGCGAAGGCGUCUCACUAGAACGGGUCCGACGGUCAGGGACGAAAGCUGGGGGCACGAACCGG